This 253-nucleotide ribosomal RNA is filed under the name uncultured bacterium. Its description in RNAcentral is "partial 16S ribosomal RNA". It matches the Rfam family "Bacterial small subunit ribosomal RNA", at positions 524 to 776 of the family's 1533-position model. The record is from RNAcentral.
UACGUAGGGUGCGAGCGUUAAUCGGAAUUACUGGGCGUAAAGCGUGCGCAGGCGGUUUGUUAAGUCUGAUGUGAAAGCCCCGGGCUCAACCUGGGAACUGCAUUGGAAACUGGCAAGCUCGAGUAUGGCAGAGGGGGGUGGAAUUCCGCGUGUAGCAGUGAAAUGCGUAGAGAUGCGGAGGAACACCGAUGGCGAAGGCAGCCCCCUGGGCCAAUACUGACGCUGAUGCGCGAAAGCUAGGGGAGCAAACGGG